CUGGCAGCGUGGAUUAGGCAUGCAAGUCGAGCGCGAUCCGGCGUGUAGCAAUACAAACCGGUGAGAGCGGCGAAAGGGUGAGUAACGCGUGGGUAAUCUGCCUCCGAGAUGGGGAUAACUUCUCGAAAGGGAAGCUAAUACCGAAUGUGGUCGCUCCGCGCAUGCGGGGAGGACUGAAGGCGGGGAUCUUAGGACCUGCCACUAGGAGAUGAGCCCGCGUACCAUCAGCUUGUUGGCGGGGUAACGGCCCACCAAGGCUAACGGUUAGCUGGUCUGAGAGGAUGGUCAGCCACACUGGGACUGGGACACUGCCCAGACUCCUACGGGAGGCUGCAGUCGAGGAUCAUUUGCAAUGCGCGAAAGCGUGACAAUGCGACGCUGCGUGGAGGAUGAAGGCCCUCGGGUUGUAAACUCCUGUCAUUCGGGAAAAGCGAUCUCCGACCUAAUACGUCGGGGAAGUGAUGGUACCGGAAGAGGAAGCCACGGCUAACUCUGUGCCAGCAGCCGCGGUAAUACAGAGGUGGCGAGCGUUGUUCGGAUUCACUGGGCGUAAAGGGUGCGUAGGUGGCCGGGUAUGUCGGAUGUGAAAUCCCACCGCUCAGCGGUGGAACUGCGUCCGAAACUGCUCGGCUUGAGUGCAGGAUGGGAGAGCGGAAUUCUUGGUGUAGCGGUGAAAUGCGUUGAUAUCAAGAGGAACACCGGUGGCGAAGGCGGCUCUCUGGAAUGCAACUACACUGAGGCACGGAAGCUGGGGAAGCAAACAGGAUUAGAUACCCUGGUAGUCCCAGCUGUAAACGGUGUACACUUGGUGUGGGGGGAAUUGCCCCCCCCGUGCCGGAGCUAACGCGCUAAGUGUACCGCCUGGGGAGUACGGCCGCAAGGUUAAAACUCAAAGAAAUUGACGGGGGCCCGCACAAGCGGAGGAGCAUGUGGCUUAAUUCGAUCCACGCGAAGAACCUUACCAGGGCUUGACAUGCAGCUGCACGCCCCGCGAAAGCGGGGAAGCCUUCGAGGGUGCUGCACAGGUGCUGCAUGGCUGUCGUCAGUUCGUGCCGUGAGGUGUUGGGUUAAGUCCCGCAACGAACGCAACCCCUGUGUCUGGUUGCCACCGCCGGCGCAAGUCGGCGAGCACUCGAGACAGACUGCCCGUACAAGCGGGAGGAAGGUGGGGACGACGUCAAGUCAGCAUGGCCCUUACGUCCUGGGCUGCACACGUGCUACAAUGGCCGGUUCAAUGGGGUGCAAGACCGCGAGGUGGAGCAAAUCCACAACACCGGCCCCAGUUCAGAUUGCAGUCUGCAACUCGACUGCAUGAAGUCGGAUUCGCUAGUAACGGCGCAUCAGCUACGGCGCCGUGAAUACGUUCCCGGGCCUUGUACACACCGCCCGUCACAUCAUGAAAGCCGUCUGCACCCGAAGUCGCUGAGCUAACCCGCAAGGGAGGCAGGCGCCGAAGGUGUGGGUGGUGAUUGGGAUGAAGUCGUAACAAGGUA
Molecule: ribosomal RNA, 1493 nt
Filed under: metagenome
Description: bacterial SSU rRNA
Rfam family: Bacterial small subunit ribosomal RNA
Source: RNAcentral